CCUACGGGCGGCAGCAGUGAGGAAUAUUGGUCAAUGGGCGCGAGCCUGAACCAGCCAAGCCGCGUGAAGGAAGACUGCCCUACGGGUUGUAAACUUCUUUUAUAAGGGAAUAAAGUGAGGCACGUGUGCCUGUUUGUAUGUACUUUAUGAAUAAGGAUCGGCUAACUCCGUGCCAGCAGCCGCGGUAAUACGGAGGAUCCGAGCGUUAUCCGGAUUUGUUGGGUUUAAAGGGAGCGUAGAUGGGUUGUUAAGUUAGUUGUGAAAGGUAGCGGCUCAACCGUAGAAUUGCAAUUGAUAAUGGCAGCCUAGAGUGCAGUAGAGGGAGGUGGAAUUCGUGGUGUAGCGGUGAAAUGCUUAGAGAUCAGGAAGAACACCGAUUGCGAAGGCAGCUUACUAAACUGCCACUGACGUUGAGGCUCGAAAGCGUGGGUAUCAAACAGGAUUAGAUACCCGUGUAGUC
Molecule: ribosomal RNA, 460 nt
Filed under: uncultured bacterium
Lineage: Bacteria
Description: partial 16S ribosomal RNA
Rfam family: Bacterial small subunit ribosomal RNA
Source: RNAcentral